RNAcentral lists this ribosomal RNA (253 nucleotides) under uncultured bacterium. RNAcentral's name for it is "partial 16S ribosomal RNA". It matches the Rfam family "Bacterial small subunit ribosomal RNA", at positions 524 to 776 of the family's 1533-position model. The record is from RNAcentral.
UACGUAGGGGGCAAGCGUUGUCCGGAAUCAUUGGGCGUAAAGCGCGUGUAGGCGGUUCGAUAAGUCUGCUGUGAAAGUCCAGGGCUCAACCCUGGAAAGCCGGUGGAUACUGUCAGACUAGAGUGCGGAAGAGGCGAGUGGAAUUCCCGGUGUAGCGGUGAAAUGCGCAGAUAUCGGGAGGAACACCAAUUGCGAAGGCAGCUCGCUGGGACGUUACUGACGCUGAGACACGAAAGCCAGGGGAGCGAACGGG